RNAcentral lists this unclassified non-coding RNA (2573 nucleotides) under Amphibalanus amphitrite. RNAcentral's name for it is "uncharacterized LOC122380264, transcript variant X1". Lineage: Eukaryota; Metazoa; Arthropoda; Thecostraca; Balanomorpha; Balanidae. The record is from RNAcentral.
UGGAAGAGUCGCGCGUCAGUCGGGAUGUGCGCCCCGCCGCCGCGGCUGGCACGCGGGCUCGAGUGAUGUGUUCUGACCGCCUCGGGUAUAUGAAGCGGUAGUGAUCGGUGGUAGACGGUGAUGCCGGUGUUAUAAGCUCAGACCGAUGGAAUUAUCCAGUGGGAGCAGACAGUCAGUACCGGAUGUCGGAAAAGCUUCAGUGCCUACCUGGUUUCUUUAGCUGGCGGGAAAAUGUCCGAUCUCCACGACGCCGCGGACCAUAUCGACAGUGAAGAGAUUGGACACGCUUCUCCCCGUACCGCCGGCUACUGCUGCUGUAAUAGCGGCUGCGGGCAGUGCAGCCCCGGGUGCAACAGCUGUGCUAAGUGCUGCGGCAGCUGCAGCAGCUGCGCUCCAUGCUGCGACAGCUGCGCCGGCGGUCGUUGCCGUCCGUGGCUGGUGGUGGUCGCCUGUUUCUGGCUGAGCUUCCUAUCGGACGGCGUGGCCAGCUGCUUUGGCGUGCUGCUGCCGGAGCUGGCCGAUCGGAUCGGAGCCUCCAUCGCUGACACGUCCUGGGCGGGUAGCGUCCUCUGCGGCGGCCAGCUGAUCGUCGGUCCGCUGGUCAGCGCGCUGGUGAACAAGCUCGGUUGUCGCCAGGUGGUGAUUGCCGGCAGUCUGAUGUCAUCAGUGGCCUUCAGCCUCAGCGCAUCGGCCUCCGAAAUCGGCCUCUUUAUCGUCAUGUACGGCAUCCUUGGAGGUCUCGGACUUGGAAUGAUGUACCUGCCCUCGGUGGUCGCCGUUAGCAUUCAUUUCGACACGAAUCGGGCACUGGCCACCGGCAUAGUCGUCUGUGGCUCGGGUGUGGGCACCUUCUGUCUGGCCCCGCUGACGCAGUACCUUUUAGACGUGUCCGGUUGGAAGGGCGCCCAGCUGGCCACUGCCGCCCUCCUCCUCACCGGAGCCCUGAUGGGCGGCGUUAUGGCGGAGCCGCAGUCGGAUUCCGAGCCCUGUCGGCCCUGCUGCUGUCCUGUGCCGCCGUCCCCGACACCGGGCCGCCAGCCUGAGACCAGCACUGGGCCAGACAGCGAACAGAACUCCGGAACGGGAGAACACCGCCGCUCCCUGACCGGGGCGAUAGAACCGCUCCCCAUCACAGCGGACGGCCGUCGGAAGGCUGGACCCGCCUCUCCCGACGACACCUUCCUGGCUACCAACACCGGCAGUUAUGUGAAGAUGGCCUCACCAGCGGUACCGUCUAACGCAGGGGACAUGGAGGUGGUCGGUCCUCCGGCGGCUGCUCCCCCUCCGGCAGUGUUCCUGUUCCCCGAGGUGGUAAUACAGAGCGCCAGCUCCACCGGCGACACGCUCAGUGAGGGCGCCCCGUGCUCCCAGCAGUCAGCCGAGUCGGUCGUUACGGGACGGCAUAUCGACCCGGUCGGUCCGCUCCCAGACGAGCCUCUCCACCGUGAGACGCUGGCCGCCUCCCGUUCCCAUCUGCUCCGCUCCCUGGGUGACCGAUCAUCCCACCUCCGUCCCGGCGCUCCCAGCGAGUCCCGUCCCGUCUCCGGUCACCUCCGGCCCGUCUCCGGUCACCAUCGACCCAUCUCCGGUCAGUCCCGUCCCGUCUCCGGUCACCUCCGGCCCCUCUCUGACCUGCUCUCUGACCUGCUCUCUCCCCGUCUGGCCGUCUCCACGCCCUGUAACCAGUCCCACACCCCUUACACACCAGCAGCCGGUCGGGGCCCAGUCCCCUCUCAUCUCCGUCCCCUGCAGAGGGCAGAUGUGUUCUUCUCGGGGAGAGUUCGGACGGUGGCGCGGGUCGCAGUCACUCCCACAGGAGCUCUAGUCAGUCCCUCCAGUCUGCCACCCGCCGCUGACACUGACGUGCAGCGGAGGCUCGCCCUGACCUCAGUGGGCAGCGCUGACACCGUGCCGGUCGGAGAAGCCACGCCGUCUGACCGAGCCGCCGGAGACUCGUUUGCCGUGCUGAAGGAGAUGCUGAACGUCUCACUGCUGAAGGAGACGCCGUUCCUGCUCACCUGCAUCGGCUACUCCUUCAGCAUGCUGGGAUACUUCGUGCCAAUCGUCUACAUACUGGACGAAGCUGUACAGCAUAAAGUCAGCCCGCCGCACGCCUCGAUGCUGGUGGCGGUCAUGGGCAUCUCGAACACGGUGGGUCGGCUGGCGGUCGGCGUGCUCAGCGACAUGCAGCACAUGGACGUGCUGUUCCUCAACAACGUCUCCAUGCUGGGCUCCGGCCUAGUGGCGCUGCUCAUCCCACUCUGCGAGACGUACUCGACCUACGCGGUGGUCACGGCCGUCUUCGGUCUGCUCUCAGCACGCUCUCCUCCCUGGUACUGGUGGAAAUGGUCGGCCUGGCACGGCUAACGAACGCCUUCGGUCUGACGCUGCUCUUCAGAGGAGUGGCCGCUGUGCUGGGCACGCCUCUGGCAGGAUUUGUGGCCGAGCGAACCAACAGCUACGACGAGCCGUUCUACAUGACCGGCGGUCUCCUGAUCGCCGCAGCGCUGCUGGGUUUCCUGGCCAGCGGCUGGGGUCGCCGGGGCUGCCGCAGCGCGCCCGCCGAGAUCUCC